This 758-nucleotide ribosomal RNA is filed under the name Halomonas sp. JSM 111046. RNAcentral describes it as "bacterial SSU rRNA". It matches the Rfam family "Bacterial small subunit ribosomal RNA", at positions 697 to 1457 of the family's 1533-position model. The record is from RNAcentral. Lineage: Bacteria; Pseudomonadati; Pseudomonadota; Gammaproteobacteria; Oceanospirillales; Halomonadaceae.
UCGGGAGGAAUACCAGUGGCGAAGGCGGCCUUCUGGACUGACACUGACGCUGAGGUGCGAAAGCGUGGGUAGCAAACAGGAUUAGAUACCCUGGUAGUCCACGCCGUAAACGAUGUCGACUAGCCGUUGGGCUCCUUGAGAGCUUUGUGGCGCAGUUAACGCGAUAAGUCGACCGCCUGGGGAGUACGGCCGCAAGGUUAAAACUCAAAUGAAUUGACGGGGGCCCGCACAAGCGGUGGAGCAUGUGGUUUAAUUCGAUGCAACGCGAAGAACCUUACCUACCCUUGACAUCGAGAGAACUUUCCAGAGAUGGAUUGGUGCCUUCGGGAACUCUCAGACAGGUGCUGCAUGGCUGUCGUCAGCUCGUGUUGUGAAAUGUUGGGUUAAGUCCCGUAACGAGCGCAACCCUUGUCCCUAUUUGCCAGCGAUUCGGUCGGGAACUCUAGGGAGACUGCCGGUGACAAACCGGAGGAAGGUGGGGACGACGUCAAGUCAUCAUGGCCCUUACGGGUAGGGCUACACACGUGCUACAAUGGCCGGUACAAUGGGUUGCGAAUCCGCGAGGUGGAGCUAAUCCCAUAAAGCCGGUCUCAGUCCGGAUCGGAGUCUGCAACUCGACUCCGUGAAGUCGGAAUCGCUAGUAAUCGUGAAUCAGAAUGUCACGGUGAAUACGUUCCCGGGCCUUGUACACACCGCCCGUCACACCAUGGGAGUGGACUGCACCAGAAGUGGUUAGCCUAACUUCGGAGGGCGAUCAC